UUAGCAAAUUUUUCUCAGUGUUUUUUAGAAACAAUUAAGUAAAGAAGAUCAGAUUAAACGAUAAUUCUUACCGGUCUUAACGAAAUCGUGAGAAUAACAUUUCCAUCUGUGUGAAUAGCCAUGAAGCUAUUCUUACCCAACCUCGUUAAAUCAUCUGUUCGAUUAAACUUGAAUCUGUUUAUCAUUUUAAACUAGUUGUGUUGUUCAAUUGGAUUAUUAAGUUAAAUUUUAAAAUCUUGUUGAUUUGAUCCAAAAUUUUUCUGAAUUGUGUAUCAAUAAGUGUUGAGUAAUCAUCUUAAACUCACCAAAUAAACAUCUAUUUUUCGUCGUUCUUUUCAAUCUAUUCGUUUUUUCUGAUUAAGUUUCUAAGCAUCAUAACUAAUCUCCUACUAUGUCAAUCGAAUCAGGAAAACAAGAGUCAACAAAGACUAAUGAAAAUGAGAAAAAGCUCAAACCUUGUUGUGCUUGUCCUGAAACUAAACAAGCUCGGGAUGAAUGUAUUAUCCAACGUGGUGAAGAACAUUGUCAUGACCUGAUUGAAGCUCACAAAAAGUGCAUGAGAGAUCUUGGUUUCAAAAUUUAACAUUUGAAGAGUCUCGAUUUCAAAAUUAGUUUGUAUUUAUAAUAAUAAUGGAAAUAACAAGGUUAAUUUAUUGUAUUUGAAA
This is a non-coding RNA of Tetranychus urticae (two-spotted spider mite), 665 nucleotides long. NCBI's taxonomy places the organism in Eukaryota, Metazoa, Arthropoda, Arachnida, Trombidiformes, Tetranychidae. The record is from RefSeq and is a predicted model, not a curated record.